AGUCGAGCGAACAGACAAGGAGCUUGCUCCUUUGACGUUAGCGGCGGACGGGUGAGUAACACGUGGGUAACCUACCUAUAAGACUGGGAUAACUUCGGGAAACCGGAGCUAAUACCGGAUAAUAUUUCGAACCGCAUGGUUCGAUAGUGAAAGAUGGUUUUGCUAUCACUUAUAGAUGGACCCGCGCCGUAUUAGCUAGUUGGUAAGGUAACGGCUUACCAAGGCGACGAUACGUAGCCGACCUGAGAGGGUGAUCGGCCACACUGGAACUGAGACACGGUCCAGACUCCUACGGGAGGCAGCAGUAGGGAAUCUUCCGCAAUGGGCGAAAGCCUGACGGAGCAACGCCGCGUGAGUGAUGAAGGUCUUCGGAUCGUAAAACUCUGUUAUUAGGGAAGAACAUACGUGUAAGUAACUAUGCACGUCUUGACGGU
RNAcentral lists this ribosomal RNA (434 nucleotides) under Staphylococcus aureus. RNAcentral's name for it is "bacterial SSU rRNA". It matches the Rfam family "Bacterial small subunit ribosomal RNA", at positions 60 to 476 of the family's 1533-position model. Lineage: Bacteria; Bacillati; Bacillota; Bacilli; Caryophanales; Staphylococcaceae. The record is from RNAcentral.